UGAACCUUUCUCCAGAAGUGAAACUCAAGAACUAGAAAACAGAUUUGGGGUUGCCAGAUUGGAGGGGGAGGGUGUGGGAAGGACUGAGAUUUGGAGGGUGAUAGAUCCAAACUCUUUUCCUUGGAGUGAGUAAGCACAGACAUCCUGCUGUUUAGCACAGGGAACUCUAUGUAGUCACGAUUUUUGGACCAAACGGAGGACAAUGUGGGAAAAACAACAUGGAUAGACACGUACGAUUGGAUCACCUUGUUCUUAAAGUGAAGUGCAGCACCAUAAACUAUCGAUAUUCGAAAAUGUUGAAUGACAACAUCCGACAAUACCAGCGGGUCCGUGUUCACCCAGGAAGAUGUCCAGGUGGAGACUGCUGCCGCUCGGGAAAGAGACAGGCACACGGACGCCGCUGAACCUGUCAAGGUUUCCUAGCAAAGCGACACUGGACCAGGCAUAAUUACCUAGCAGGUAUGAAUUAAUUUGUAUACUACAAUUAUAUUUGUUUAUUUAUUUUUUGCUUCCCUAGUUAUUUUCCUGCAGACAUGUGUGGCAUGCAGAUACCCUCUGCUCUGAAAAUGAAUCCACUCCUAUGGCAUACAUCCCCAAGCUCAUACUCAGUACCCUCCACCACCAGAGAUACUGGAUCAGGAGAAACAUUAGGAUUGCUUUAUAUAUCCAUUCACUUAGCUCUUCUGUAGGAAUAUAUAUAUUCUUUGUUAUUUAAGCUCAUUAUUUUCAAUAACUUUGUAUCAAUUUAUUUGGUUGCCUCCUGUGACAUUAGGAAGUUGUCUGGCCAGAAAUUAAUCUCCCAGUGCAGCUCUUACUAUAGCCACAGUGACAAGGAGAGACUCUUUAGCCAGGCAGCCAUGAGGGAACUCCCUGAGAGCAUGUUUCAUACCAAUCAACCCUGCUUAAUUCAUCAGACCUGGUUUCAGUCAGGCUCGUAAUGAGGCGCCACACCGAAAAGUGAGGCUCAACUCGAAAGGCAAGAAGGCCAGUUCCCUCAACCCUUUGAGAAAAAAAUCACAGGGAUUAGCGCAGCUGCCCACCCUGAUGACACAGAAGCCCCCAAUUUAUUCAUCAAUACCACCCUCUUUCUCCACCUACCAAAACCCCCGACGGUCAGGGACAUGAAAAUGGCCAACUCACAAUACAACACCAAUGCUUUGUGGGUCUCUGAACCUGCCUCUGAAGAAACGUAAGGCAUGGCAAAAACCCAGUGAAUCCUUCAAGUAUUCUGCACACACUGGACCCAACCCAGCUGCCAAUACACCUCCAAAUGCUGAAGGGACACCUUUGUCUUCUGCCUGACACGAGGCAUCUUGGAGCAGAGGACCUGCCCAGGAAAUAACCAAAAAUAUUCUGGAUGCUUGCUGUGGGUUCCGCUCAGGACACCAUCAGCCCGGACUCUGAGCCUUGGAGCUCUAACCUCUUAGAGCCUUGGAGCUGCACCUGGGGCCAGAAGGGACUCUGGUGCCCUCGUGUGGACACCUGCUCUAACAGCCACUCUCAGAUUUUCUUCCUCUUUCUUGCUCAGCAGUCCCCAGGGCUGCAUUGGCCAAAGGCCAUGGGCAGGUUGGGUCUCCUUCCUCGCUUUCAUGAAAUACCAAGAAGUGCACUUCUGAGUGGGCAAUUUCUCUCUCAAAGACUUUCUGAACCCUGAAGCCAACCUAUGCCAUGCCUUGCUGUUUAAACCCUUAACUCCAGACCCAUCAUAUAAUGAAGGCUUUCAUCCUUAUUAUAUAUCCCUGCAUAUAUAUAAAGAUAGGUGUGUGUAUGUAACGACUGCUUUUUUUAAGUUUCCACCUGUUAUUCCUUCAUUCAUAAAGUAUGCUUCUUUUCUUUCUUUGUAUUUUUUCCUUUCUUUCCCNNNNNNNNNNNUUCUAAAUUUAUUGACCCCCCAAAGCACGUGCGAGUUGUCUGCACAUAGAUGACUGUCAAGCCACAGUACUUACUAAUACCAUCACAGAGACAAAGACAGAUGUUUUACCGCGUGUGUCAGGAGUGUUCUUGGUGAGAGCUUUCUAUAUAUCAAUCAACUGACUGGACUUAGCAUGCCCAACCUUGUUUUAGGUCACGUCUUCAUACCAGGUGCAUAGAAAGAAGAGAAGAGGCUCACGUGGAAAGGAAAGGAUGGAGUUUCACGAGAAUUCAUGAGAUAAAAUGCCCAAUGAUUGGCCAAGCUGCUUCCCAAAGUAUCACCGUUUUUGCACCUCCCAAGCAAAACCUGCAGGCACUUUAUAUGGAUCCAAAAGCCCAGGUCAGCCUGGGCUUCCAAAAUUAACAGCUCAACCACUGACCAUCCAACGGAAAAACAAAACCAACAACCUUAACGAAACGUUGGCAAAAACCUGAAUAGACCUUUCCCUAAACCAGAUACACAGAGGGCAAACCACCGGGGAGAAUGAACAGCAUCGCUAACUGAUAGAGAUUUCCAAAUCAAAAUGCUGCUGAGGUAUGGCCUCGCCCCUCUCCGAAUGGCCAUCUUCAAAUAAAAAAACCCUGGAGAGCAUGUAGAGCAAAAAUGCCCUACUACAUUUUGGCUGUUAGGCAAAUGUGUAAAACCACUGUGGACCACAGGAUCUUGAUAAUCCGAAAAAUAAACAUAGAACCACCGUAUGACCCAGGAGUCUUACUCCUGUGCAUAUACCCAGAAAAUGUCCUUUUCACAAAUGGAAAUGCAAUGCUAUAUUCAUGCAGCACUAUUCACAAUAACAAGACACGGAGACACAUUCUAUGUCCAUGAGCAUGGAUUGGAUUAGGAAGAGGAUGUCCAUAUACACAAUGGAAUAGUACACAGCCAUAAAAAAGAGCCAAAAAUGACAUUGGCAGCCACAUAGAUGGAAAUAAAAACUCUCAUACUAAAAGAAAUGUCUGAAAAAGAAAUACAAUGCCACAGGAAACCCCUCCCCUCUGGAAUCUUACAAAUGAUACCAAUGAAGUUUUUACAAAAAACAAACAAAACAAAAAAACCCAAAAAACCUCACGAACUGGAAAACAGAAUUGAUUACUAGAUUGGAGGGGGAGAGUCUGUGAAGGA
RNAcentral lists this long non-coding RNA (3031 nucleotides) under Sus scrofa (pig). RNAcentral's name for it is "lncRNA (ENSSSCG00005032530.1)". The record is from RNAcentral. Lineage: Eukaryota; Metazoa; Chordata; Mammalia; Artiodactyla; Suidae.